This is a small nuclear RNA of Nannospalax galili (Upper Galilee mountains blind mole rat), 107 nucleotides long. The record is from Ensembl. Lineage: Eukaryota; Metazoa; Chordata; Mammalia; Rodentia; Spalacidae.
GUGCUUGCUUCGGCAGCACACAUACUAAUAUUGAAACGAUACAGAGAAGAUUAGCAUGGGCCCUGCACAAAGAUAACACACUAGUUUGUGAAGCGGUCCAUAUUUUU